GCAAAGGUGGUUCAGUGGUAGAAUUCUCGCCUUCCAUAUGGGAGACCUGGGUUCGAUUCCCAGCCUGGGCC
Molecule: transfer RNA, 71 nt
Filed under: Loxodonta africana (African savanna elephant)
Lineage: Eukaryota; Metazoa; Chordata; Mammalia; Proboscidea; Elephantidae
Rfam family: tRNA
About the family: Transfer RNA (tRNA) molecules are approximately 80 nucleotides in length. Their secondary structure includes four short double-helical elements and three loops (D, anti-codon, and T loops).
Source: Rfam by way of RNAcentral